CUAAAAAUAAUUCGAUUUUAUUACUACAUACAAUAAUAUGACUGCAAACAUGUUAAAAUAUAUCUGAAUGCCUCCUGAGACUUUACAUCAUUGUUAACCUCUCAAUCUAUUCUUCGCUGUCAAUCGAAUGAUAUACAUUUCAAUCGAAUUGCAUCGAUACAUAGAACGUACGAAACGCGCGAGAACGGAAAGCAAAUCCGAUGCUACGAAGGUGCACGAAAGAGGCCGAGCGGGUUCGGAAGCAGCCGAGGCCAUCUGUUACGCUCGGUUCCCACGCUUCCGCCGUCGCCUUUCCCCGCCUUUGGACCAGUCUUCAUCGGUCCUUUUCUUGCCUCCACCUUCAUCGACACUGGCAGCUCUUGCUGUCGCUUUAUUUUAUAUAGCCCGAGAACGCUUGAACGUCUUUAACCGCGACUUUGCGUUUUCUGUUACGAGGCUAAACUUUUGUCCAUUAUCGCGAAAUUUCUGCAUAUUCACAGUUUCAAUUUAGUUUUGUGACACAUCAAUAACACGAAUUAGUGUGUGAAAAAAAGAAACUUUUAACGUAAGGCACGUGCCGUCAAGCGGCUACAGUCGUGCCAUUGUCAUCUUCUGAGGCUGUGUUUACACAAACGAAUAUCCCCUAUCACCCCUUGCGGAAACUUGGCACUCCCAAUCAUUGUGUACAAUCGUUCACAAAUGUGUUCGUAUAAAGAGAAUCAUAAACGACGUGCACGUGUGUUGGCAACGCGUUGCUGAGGGGGCUAGAACGAUUAAACCGACCGCAAAAAAGAUGAACUCGAUUCCUUAAAUACAUGGUCAAUAUGGCAAGGGGAUGACAGUGACAAUGUCAAGUGACUUCCAGCGAUCCCUUGUUUACCCAUGAAUAAAUUUCAUUUAUUUUGUUAUACAAACACAUAAAGAAUAAAGGAUCAAAAAUAUAAUAAAUCAAACAUUUGAAGCGAUCUAAAUAUAUAUAUAUAAUGUGACAAUUUUUAAUAAUUUUAAAACAAUUCCUUGAACAAUUUAAAAAAUAUAAGGAAUAAUUUCAAGAGGAACGAUUAUAUUUUAAAUUCGAUAUUGAUAAAUUCACAUCGUAGUUGGUAAUCGAAUAAUUAUCGAAUAAUCAUCCAAUCGAUAAUAAAUCGAUAAUAAAGAGACAAUCGAUCCUGAACGAAGUCAGAUUCAAAAAAAUCAGAUUGCAAACAAUUUAACGAUAUAUUUCUAACUAUCGAGAUAAAUCGAUUCAAUCGACAUGAUAGAAAGAUGGCGUUAGAAGAGGUUAUGUAGUUUCGUCUACGAUUCUGUUGAAACAUUGUUGUUUCAUGAUUUUUUUAUCCAUGGAAUUGUUUUAACGAAAGAUUAUUCGAUUAGUGGUGUUAUACAAUUAAAAUUUUUUGCAAUUUAUAGAUAAUAUAGCCAUAUUAAUUUACAAAAAAAAAAAAGAAUAUUAAGAGAAAAUAUUAAAUAUUAGUAAAGAAGCAUGUAUUCAAAAAAUAAUUAUUACACUACAUUACACUAUAUUAUUAAAGCUGCCAUAAGGAUAAUUUAGUUUUGCAUUUAGAAUUGCUUGACUGCACUCAAAGAAUGAAUACGAAAAUUCUCCCUUUUCAACUUAUACAAUGUUUUGUUUCUGACAAAAGUGCUCACAAAUCGAUACCAAAUGGUUACAAAGGUAUGUAUUUGCUUUAAUAAAAGAACUAAUGUAUAAUAUAUUAAUAAGGGCGCGUAUAGGUAGAAAACUGAAUCUAUGCCAAUAACGAUAUAGAAUCAUGAAUGGUGCUGUUGUAAAUGAUAUCGAAACGCAACCCUCUGUUUCCGUUUUGUCCAAUAAUAGAUUUCCCCCAUUCUGCGGUUUCCCUUUAUUCGCAUGAAGAUUAAAUUACAUGGCUGUUCGACAUGGUUAUGAAAUUGAAUAUAACGAAUAAUGAACUAUCAAUGUGAAAGUAAACAAACGCACAGGCCACUACAAGUGCAAAUGCAAGAACUGAAAUGCAGCAUAUAACUGACGAUUAAACCAUGGUUGCUUGAAGCGUAUAGCAACAGACCGUUAUCUGAAACACGUAUGACGAUAAACUUGAAACGCUGCUCCAGUAUAUUCGAGGAAUGACCUACGUGGAAGUUGGCAUGCCUAACUGAGAUCAUUUAUAAGGCUGGGUGGCGAUGUGGGACUAGCACUGGGGCUCACAUGAAACCCUUUCGACUCCUUGGCAGGCCUCUGGGGGGACACCCUCGCAGGGAAGCUCAAGGUUUUCGUCCACUGCGACAGACCACGCACCAUCUUUUUCUUCUUUUCCAAAAUUUCACCGAUAUAAUAUACAGUAAUACUACUAUCUUCCGGUCGUUCGGUCCUCUCUGUGGAACGGUCGCGUCAGCCCGCUGGACCAAGCGCGCUGAUUGGUAGAUACGAUAGAAAGCGAGAAGCAACGCGUACGAAACAAGGACGAGCAUAGUGGAAAAUGGCUAAUGGGGUGGUUCGUAUUAUAAGAGGAAGCGAGACUGUAUAAAAUGAUAUCGUAAGACGAACGCAACCACGAUAUAAUUUUCAAGAGAUAUAAACUUUUUUUCGUCAAACUAAUAUGUUACCUUCUUGUUUUUUCUUUAUUUCAGUGAACGAAGAAAAAGAGAAGAACGAGAGAAGUUUAAUGGUGUUGAUGAGACAAGGACAGUGACCAGGGAAAGACGGUGAAUGAAGGAACGUGUGAAAGAGAUUAUCGGAUAUGUGGCACAAGUACAAUCGCCGCUGACUUCAUGGAUCGCGGUUUAGAAAUCGUUUAAGGUUUAUCUAGGAUUCGCAUCGAUUCAAUAUACGUAAUAAACGAUAUGAUAACAAUUUUAAGAGGUUAAGAGGAAUAUCGAGGCCAAAUCAUUUCAAAGAUCCAAGUAAAUGUGUUUGAAGAAAAAUUAUCUAUGUUCCCUUUACAAUAGAUACUUCAAAAACUAAUCAAGACUAUUGAUGUGUUGAUUGGAACCAGGUAGUCGAAGUGGCCGCUAUCAAAGCGGUACUCUUACUGACGCCCUUUCCAAGACAAAGAAUUUGUCCGAUAGCGACUCGUGAUCGGUAAAGACAUACUCGUGUUGCCAACUGCAGGUCCGUCACGGUGGAGGGGAGGAAAACGACAUUGUAAGGCCCAACUGGCAAGGUAUGUUCCUUACAUUCAACCGCGUUCAGCUGUAUGUACGCGGACAGGAUCUAGCCAGCUGCGGCCUUCUUCGACCUUCCCCCCACCAGACCGGAAUCGAGCCUUCUGGCCAGCUAUACAAACCGGUACCCCAGCGUUCUAACAAGGAACAUCCGCGAAGACUCCGCCUUCGAUCUUGAUGGUGAUAGUUAAAUGAAAGACAAUUAUGCCAUAUGGAAUGCAGUGGAGAAAUAGCAGAAUAAGUGGAACAGAAAAAUAAACGAUUUAAAAAGAGGAAGACAGAACAGUUAGUUGAUUUAUUCUGAAUCAUCCACAGAUAAAAAAAUCUUUAACAAUUGAAAUAUAUCGUCCUCAAAUUUCUUCCCUCUGAAUUUCUUCUUUUUUCAUGAAAAGAUUUCAGAUAUUUAAUUUAAGGAAUUGUACAAUUUAAUGCUUUAAUCAAUUCCUUUAUCACCAUAACUUGUCUAAGCGACACAAUUUCGACCAGUGGCUUUACCCUUUGAGUUCAUAUCCAUUAUGGGCAUUCAAAAGAUUCGUAGAACUAUUUGAAUUUUUAAUUCAGCCCGCAUAGUUGAAGAAUUCACAUCUGUUCCCUAUUUUCCUUGACCAGAAAAUUCCAAUUGACCAUCAGAUAAAUGGGUACGUCAUUUUUCUCUGUCUGAUAUAUUCUGAACCUUUUUAGGGGACCAAUUCACAAUUCAAAUUCGAAGCACGCUCCGUUCAAAUAACUUUCUAAAUCGAUAUUAAUUGGUUUAACAUAUGUUCUUGCGAAUAAUCCAAUUUCUUGACAAUCCCUAAUUUGAUGCAAUCACGAUGUCGAAGACAAUGAAAUCUAUUUCAAAAAUCGAAACGGAUCGAGAGAAACGUUAUUACUAUGAGCUAUGUCAGGGAUAGUUGAAGUCGAUUGUAAGGAUUCCUAUUUAAAGCCUUCGACAAGCUCAUAUAAAUAGCAUUGUUCACCUUGGAUGGAUAACGAACUCUUGUUUUCACAGGAAAAAAGAAACGUUGAGAAAAGAAGAAUGAUAGUGAUGGUUUGAAUACAAGGAUUCUUUUAUUUAAAAUUCGCAACAGGUGCGCUAUGUCAGGUUGUAUUAAUUCCCUAAGGACAUACUAUAAUUUCACAGACAUGAUAUUCACGAUCACGCACCUUUUCGUCCCUUCUUAUAUAUAGG
Long non-coding RNA from Apis mellifera (honey bee), 4294 nucleotides. RefSeq lists it as uncharacterized. The record is from RefSeq and is a predicted model, not a curated record. Lineage: Eukaryota; Metazoa; Arthropoda; Insecta; Hymenoptera; Apidae. The transcript has 9 exons.